CUACGGGGUGCAGCAGUAAGGAAUAUUGCGCAAUGGAGGCAACUCUGACGCAGCCAUGCCGCGUGCAGGACUGAAGGCCUUAUGGGUCGUAAACUGCUUUUAUUUAGGAAUAAACUCUUGUACGUGUACGAGACUGAAGGUACUAAAUGAAUAAGCACCGGCUAACUCCGUGCCAGCAACCGCGGUAAUACGGAGGGUGCAAGCGUUAUCCGGAUUUAUUGGGUUUAAAGGGUGCGCAGGCGGACUAUUAAGUCAGAGGUGAAAUCCCGGAGCUCAACUUCGGAACUGCCUUUGAUACUGGUAGUCUUGAAUACGGUUGAAGUAGGCGGAAUGUAGCAUGUAGCGGUGAAAUGCAUAGAGAUGCUACAGAACACCGGUCGCGAAGGCAGCUUACUAAGCCGAUAUUGACGCUCAGGCACGAAAGCGUGGGGAGCGAACAGGAUUAGAUACCCGCGUAGUC
RNAcentral lists this ribosomal RNA (460 nucleotides) under uncultured bacterium. RNAcentral describes it as "partial 16S ribosomal RNA". It matches the Rfam family "Bacterial small subunit ribosomal RNA", at positions 339 to 795 of the family's 1533-position model. The record is from RNAcentral.